CAGCCCCCUCCCCCUUCCAUUGUGACAGGGCCCAGCCCAGACCUCUGCACCUGACGCCUCGCAGGCUGCUUGGCCCACCGCAGGCCCGCAAACCCAGGAGCUCGCAUCCCACUCACAGGAUGUUCCAACAGCACCCUCUCCUGGAAAGCUCCCUUUAUUUUGUGGAGAGCCGAACUCCAGUUGUGUUUGGUGACCAUACCUGGUGUCUGAGAACCUCGCUGGGAAGAGAACUGUCCAUUUUGCAGAUGAGAACACCGAGGCAGGAAGAAGUUAAGUAACUGCUCCCAGGCCACGCCGACAGUACACAGCAGCUCUGAGAUUCAAGGCCAGGCCUUACAGAUCAUGAGGAGGAUCUCACAGAUCCAUGUGACUGUGUGUCGUUGGGCCUAUAUUCAGUUACAUAAACCUCUAAAUUUUAGCAUCUAUUUUAGGGCUCCGCACUCAGAAUACGCACUCUGAAUAUUUGUUGAGUUGACAUCUUGCUGGGCAUUUUGUGGUGGGCAGUAAAUAUCUGGUAUACAAAGGAUGGAUGGACUGGACCCAAAAGGGACUGAGAUUAUAAAUGUGGUGGGAGGCUCAGGAUGCCAUGUCGGGGACCCCCAUGGCAGAAUUCAGGGUUCUGCUCCCCACUCUCCCACAUUUGUUUGUGAAUACAGGAGCAGGGGAGCCUGGGACAGUGACCGGGAGACAGGCCUUGGCAGCCUCUCUGUCUGUCCAGCCAUCCAAGGACUGAUGCCUCGUCUUCUCCCCACCCACCCUAGUGAUGUCACAGUGUGUGGGGGGGCAGGGGGACAGGCAGGGGUGUGGUUGGGAGACCCUCCCUCACCUCCUUUGCUAACCCAGAGGCUACCUGGUGCUUCUACUUUUAAACAAGCAGAAGGAUGGCCCCGGUCUUUUCUUCCUCCACGUUUGUAAGCAAAGGAAGGAGAGGACAGAAAUCCCAGGAGACCAUCAGGCAGCGAUAGGCCAGGGCUGUCCCCCUGCAGGGCCCCACAGCGUGGUGCUAAUCUACAGGAGACAGAGGCUCACAACCCUCCCAGGCUGGCACAGAGGGCAUGGGGUGUCGCAGAGAACAGGGGUUCUCCCCCACUAGGAGCUCAGAUUUGAGAAGACUAGAGCCGCUAGCUGGAAGCAGGAGUGUUGGCCACAUGCGCGUUAGAGGGUGAGAGCACUGCGCGUGGAAGUCGGGGAGGGGGGCAGUCAUGGAUCCAGGAGCAUUUUGGAGCAUAGGUGAAACAGGAGAAGGUAGGUGUAAACGAACCCAGCGCGUCAGGGGACAGAGAGGGCAGCGCGGCUGGCAGCAGGCACUGUGUAGGAAAGUGGGGGAGAGCUUAGCAGAGCAGAGGGGGCAGAUUAUGGAGCCCUGCCUGGAUGCUCCUUGGAGAAGUCUGAGAUUCCAAGUUGCUUCCAGUCCUGUGCACGUGGCUCCCACCGCCCUCCAGCAGUCUGUGCUACUGGCUGCCCAACCACUUCUUAACAAAUGUCCAGAGGAGGAGCACAGCACGAUCUGUUUCCUGGUAUUUGGAAGCACGCCCUGUCUACAGAAAGCAGCCUGUGUCUGGUUUCCUUGUCCCCAGAGUCACCAUAGGGCCUUUUCAUGGCCCACCGUGAAGUGCAGGUCAAGCCCUGCUCAGCAGUAUCAUGGCAUUGUGACGACCAUCACCCCAGCCACCACCCUCGGGCACCUCUGGAGAAGUGACACUGGGGCAUCCCUUCUCCCUUCCUGGAGGGGCUCUUGGCCCACCCAGCCAUUAAUGUGCAAAUGGCCCAUUUUCUGCUUCAAAGGAAAGAUUUUUUUUUUUUUUUUUUCUGAGAUCUGCAGUUUUCGAGUAUUCUCAAAUGACUAGCCGGAAUCAAUCUGAGAUCUAAGAGUUUGGUGCAUGUAGAGUGUGGUAUUCUCAACUGCCAUCUUCACUUCUUUUUGGCAAGACCCAGCGAGCCAGUGGCUGAAGGAGGGACCUGAGGCUUGGGGGCCAUAGAGCCCAUGUUACUCACUUUUAAAAUUUGUUCCUUCACCUGAACUGCUGCUGCUGCUGCUGCUGCCGCCUUCUAUCCCUCCUGUCUCCUCCUCCAUUCACUCGCCCAAAGGCCCUGUACAGUUCAUUCUUCCUUCCCAAGUCUGGCCCUGCUCCAGGCAUCAGUGGGGACCCUAGUGAAAGAGAAGCUCCGAUAGAGGGUGUUGUGUGGUCAAGGGUCUCUGCAGUUCAGACCUGGAGAUCCAGGGGGUUUUGAGGAAGGCGAAUUCCUGUGAGUUGCAAGUCAAUUGGGAGGGCUUCCUGAAGGAGGAGGACUGGAUUGAGCCUUAAAGAAUAGAAGCCUCCUAGGGCCACAUGAUGGAUGGGAGGUGAUCUGGCUGCCACUCUGGGUAAAUGGAUGUUACCUUCUGUUUUAUGUGGACCUUCCCCAAAAGAGGGUGACCUUGUGAGAUAGAGGGUGACCAUGAGGCAGAUGGCCUGGCUCAAGAUAAUGGCCCCCUGCCUGCCCCAUCCAUAGCAGGGUGGACUGGGCUGCCCCAGCCAAACCACCCUGGCUCACUCUACCCCCUCCUUCCUAAUUGCCCCAUUACUGUAAAUAAUAUCUUCCUUUCCAAACAAUUAGCCUUCUCAUCUUGAAGCUUCCUGUUUGUUUUUUCUGGUUCUGAGGCCCUAACGUUGGAGAAAACAAACAUCCGGCAUCUGUCUGCAGUCUCCCCGCAACCAGCCCAGCCACUAAUGCUUUUACAGCCCCCGCAGGCCUGCUCCCCUGUCCCCCUCCCAGACCAUCUCCUGGACCAUCAGAUCCUUUAAACGAGCUCAGGAGGAGACAAGGCACAAUUCAUACCUCCACUUGCAACAGGGAAACCAAGGCUCAGAGGGUCUGCACGGUUUGCCCAAGGUCCAUGGAGGAUGAGCAGGUCGAUGGCUAGU
Molecule: long non-coding RNA, 2906 nt
Organism: Felis catus (domestic cat)
Lineage: Eukaryota; Metazoa; Chordata; Mammalia; Carnivora; Felidae
Exons: 3
Source: RefSeq, a predicted model, not a curated record